GUCUCUGUAGCUCAGUGGCCGUGCGCUGGCCCUGUAACCCAGGGGUCGUGAGUUCAAUCCUCAUAGGAGGCA
This is a non-coding RNA of Acanthoscelides obtectus, 72 nucleotides long. The record is from the annotation of a GenBank genome assembly. NCBI's taxonomy places the organism in Eukaryota, Metazoa, Arthropoda, Insecta, Coleoptera, Chrysomelidae.